UGGAAUGUGGCUUAGUGGUAGAGAGCUUGCCUAGCAUGCAUGAAGCCCUGGGUUCGAUUCUCAGUACCACAU
This 72-nucleotide transfer RNA is filed under the name Dipodomys ordii (Ord's kangaroo rat). It matches the Rfam family "tRNA". Rfam says of the family: Transfer RNA (tRNA) molecules are approximately 80 nucleotides in length. Their secondary structure includes four short double-helical elements and three loops (D, anti-codon, and T loops). Further hydrogen bonds mediate the characteristic L-shaped molecular structure. tRNAs have two regions of fundamental functional importance: the anti-codon, which is responsible for specific mRNA codon recognition, and the 3' end, to which the tRNAs corresponding amino acid is attached (by aminoacyl-tRNA synthetases). tRNAs cope with the degeneracy of the genetic code in two manners: having more than one tRNA (with a specific anti-codon) for a particular amino acid; and 'wobble' base-pairing, i.e. permitting non-standard base-pairing at the 3rd anti-codon position. The record is from Rfam by way of RNAcentral. Lineage: Eukaryota; Metazoa; Chordata; Mammalia; Rodentia; Heteromyidae.